GUGAAAUAAUUUGGUUUUCAAUUUCUCGUGACUCCACCGUCCAGCGGCGUCAGUUCGAGCUCCACGAGGUUGCUCCGCUCUCGCUGCCACCGCCCCAGGGUCGGUUCCGCCGCCGGCGCCCCAAGGUCCGUUCCGCCGCCACCGCCGUCGAUCGCCGGUCGGAGUCCUGCGACCCGAUCCACCUAACGUGCGGGAACUCAUCCAUUGGCUCAAGGUCCCAUUCAAUCCUUUCCCGUCGAUUUCUGUUCGGAAUCCACGCCUGACUUUUCCUCUGAUUUUUGGGUGGUUAUUGGUUUCUUGUUGUGGAGAGGCAUCCCGACAUCCUGCAUCUGUUUUGAAUUGAAACACCAGUUCCUGUUUCAAAAAAAAAAGAAGAAAGAAUCAGCAGAUCCGCUCCAAGGUCCGUGUGAUGAGGCACUCAAUCGGGUCAGAGGUCACAGAUCCCAACCGGAUCAGGCUGUAGAUCGAAGACCAGCUGCUACUCCAGCGAGAUCUCCCAGCAGCUCAGAGAAAGAAGCUAGCGGCGGACCCCGUCCUCCUCUCGACGGCUGCGCCAGGCAGACAACGACACAGACUACGGGCGUGAUUGGGACGAUGAUCUGGGCGGAUCAGGUAUGGCACGACAGCCUCUUUUGUCCGACUCCAUGCGAUGCGCGGCAGGAGCAACCCCAGGCGUCGGUCCCCAGCAUCCCAGGCAUGGCUCAUCCGCCUCCAUGAACAGACAUCCAGACCUUGGUGCAAGUUCAAGUGUUCUGUCCACACACUCAACUCCCUCACCGGCGUGCACGCGGAGCCUGACGGCCAAUGGGUCAUGGCCACUGUCGGCUAAAGAGAUCCAUGUACACCUUGGCAUUCAGCUGUGGAAGUGCUGGAGGUAUCUCUGGGAGUCUGAGACUGUGAACCUGCUGCUUCAAUUAUAUUCUUGAUUUCUGUGUUGCUUAAAAGGAUUCACAGCGGAGGUUGAUGUCCAGGAUGCCCAUUUGCUGCUGCUCGUUCCUGCCACCAUAUGGGAUCCUGGCGGGGCAGUAUGUUGACACUUGAGAGGCAGAGGUGGGGGGUUCGAGGCGGCCACAUCACAUGUAGGUGCAUUCGGUGAAAUUGUGGAAUCCAGAGCGGAGGCCAUCACGUGCUGGGAUGUUCCUGCUUGAUCAUGCGGCUUCGAACAGACAAGUCCCUCAAAUGAACACCGAUGGACAAGUAGCGUAGGCCAUAGUCCAGCACAUGAGCCAGGUAGGUGACUGUUGACACCAUCGUUUAUUGCAUUUUUAUGUACGAGUUUUUAACCGCUGAACUUGGUGAUGCUGACCAUGGUGUUCCUCUGCAACGACACUGGCAUCACCUGUGACCAUGCUGGCUGCAUGAGAUUUUCGAGCUCUGGGAUGGCAAGUUCGAGCUGCUGUAGGUCGCUCUAGCGGCCGUCAUGUUGCAUGUGGAGCUAGCCUUGUGCAAAGUGUGAAGAUUCGAUCUUUGUGAUCAUAACAUGUGGAUUGUGUUGACAAAAUCUGUGUGUUCAAACUGCAAAAUGCUAGCUUUGAUGACCACUGAAAUGAUCAUGUUGUCACCACAAUUGUACUCAAGUUGGAAAUUUUAGCCUUUUAUACAUGGUAGAGACAAACCAGCCAUUGAUGAAUGAAACAGAUACUGGUUGUUA
Long non-coding RNA from Panicum virgatum (switchgrass), 1651 nucleotides. RefSeq lists it as uncharacterized. Lineage: Eukaryota; Viridiplantae; Streptophyta; Magnoliopsida; Poales; Poaceae. The record is from RefSeq and is a predicted model, not a curated record. The transcript is spliced from 5 exons.